Molecule: long non-coding RNA, 1841 nt
Organism: Camelus dromedarius (Arabian camel)
Lineage: Eukaryota; Metazoa; Chordata; Mammalia; Artiodactyla; Camelidae
Exons: 3
Source: RefSeq, a predicted model, not a curated record
GGUCUAACAAUGGGUCUUUGGGAGAAGAAGGAAGUAACUUCCAUCUGUGGGGGAGAGAGGAGGCUCCUUGUCUUUCAUAACGCAAAGUUGGGGCAGGACCAAUUGGAACAGGAGUAAUUAUGGGCCUAGGUCUCCCAGUGACCCAUCCUUCCCUUUCCUCAAAGGGUUUGGAGCCAGAGGCUGCAGAAGAUGGUCAGACCUUAGGAUGAUUGGUCCUUGGCGUUGCUCUUCUGGAAGACUUCCCUGAAGAGUCCAGGAACCCUUCCCCUCACCCCUACUCUAACUAGCCCCUUCCUCCGUCCGGGUCCCGCCUCCAUUUAGCCUGGCCCCUCCCACCUUGGUCUCACCCCCUUCCAGCCACGCCCGUAUCUUUAGUCUCGAGUUCCUUUUGGGCUCAUUCACCUUCUGGAACUUCUUUCCCUUCCAUUUGGCCCUGCCUCCUUGUUCUAGCCCUGCCCUAGCUCCGCCUUGCCCCGCCCCUAACUUUGGUCCGCUGCUCAAUCUGGCAACGCCCUGGCUCCUGACAGCCUCUUUCCUGCCCCUUCUCUAGGGUUACGAUAGACCCUUUACCCAUCUCCCAGUUCUUGAGUCUCCGUUGUGGCUCUCUGAUCUGUGGGAGGACCGGCGGCCCAUCCCAGGGGUCCUGGUGUCCGGCCUUAUCCGUCACUGGAUCUCAUACCUUCAGUACGUAUUCCUUGUUAACGCUGUCGUAGAAUAUCUUGGCGGACUCCUUGAUGGGGAUGUUGGGUUUGGGGUCCCCCUGCACCUGGGCUUGGAACACGGCUUUAUCUCUUGCAGAGGGCACAGGAUCCAUUUUUGCCUCUUAGUCUCCAAGCUGCAUCUUUUGCCUGCUCCCAUCCCCGGGCAGGGGAGGAACCUUUGGUCGGGAUCCGCCAGUGAUUGUGUGCUGGGGGGACAAUGAUGGUGGUGGUGGUGGGGUGUGGCAGCGGCUGGGGCAUUGAGGAAGAAAAGGAAGCACCCAGGGGCUUGGGGAGACAUGGGGAGCGACGCACCCUCGGGCGCAGUGACCAGGUGAGGCUUCUCCACGAAAUCCGGGAUGCUUUCACCCGCAAGGAUGUUGGAACUCCGGGUCACCAAGCUGAAGAACUCUGAAGAGCUCGAGGACCUCCUCGUCAUGACUUCCUCAGUGGCGGCAGGCGAAGGACUUGGGGAGCAAAGCAACGGAUCUGUGUUUUCCAAGGACUGGGAGCAGUAUAUCUUCAUGCCCAGACCCUCGAACAGCCCACUCAAGGAUCUGCUACCUUGUAAGGACUUGCUGGUUGGUGAGCAUCCCUGCCCAGGAGUGACCCACACCUGUCAGCAAAGGCAGGAGAGCUACUUUUGCUGCAUCCCUGGGGGCUGGGGUAAGAAUAGAGCAGGAGUGUCUGGGAGGCUCAGGAUCUUUGCCUAGGGGCAGAUUCCCGGGCUCCUUGGGUGGGGCUACUUUCAGCCCAGGACUUAACAAGGGAAAUUGCUGGGCUGCAGCAGCUGUUGGGACCCACAAGGCUAACAGAGGAUAACUGCGCUGGCCAACAGGGAGGGGCCUGGGUGUGAUCUGAAUGUCUCCUUGCCCCAGCCUUGGCCUCUUUGGCCCAUUUGUCAGAGAGGUGGCCUGCCAGUCACUUUUCCUUCUCUAGAAGCCACCAACACCUGUCCUUGAAGCUUCCCAUGGCCCCUGACUCCUGGCUGGGUGGGAGGGUGAGAGUGUGUGAGAAUCCCAUCCAAUGGACUUUGGCUGUUCAAAAUCUGGAUUCACUUCAUACUCCUAAUCUCCACAAGGGGGCGCCAGGGAUCUGGGGUGGGGGGUGCGGCACUCAUGUGUGAACCUGUUCUAGGAGGAG